AGAGCGAACGUUCGCGGCGGGCCUAACACAUGCAAGUCGAACGAGUUUGUCCUUCGGGGCAAGCAAGUGGCGCACGGGUGAGUAACGCGUAGGUAAUCUACCUUCUGGAGGGGGAUAACUAACCGAAAGGUUAGCUAAUACCGCAUAAGCUCACGGGGUCUUUGGACUCUGAGAGAAAAGGUGGCCUCUACUUGUAAGCUACCACCGGAAGAUGAGCCUGCGUCCCAUCAGCUAGUUGGUAGGUAAUGGCCUACCAAGGCGAAGACGGGUAGCUGGUCUGAGAGGAUGAUCAGCCACACUGGCA
This 304-nucleotide ribosomal RNA is filed under the name uncultured soil bacterium. RNAcentral's name for it is "bacterial SSU rRNA". It matches the Rfam family "Bacterial small subunit ribosomal RNA", at positions 26 to 318 of the family's 1533-position model. The record is from RNAcentral.